GCGGGCUGUAGCUCAGUGGCAGAGCCGGGUGCAGCUUCCAGGCCACCAGGUCGCCAGUUCGAUUCUGGCCGCCCGCACCA
Molecule: transfer RNA, 80 nt
Filed under: Deinococcus radiophilus
Lineage: Bacteria; Thermotogati; Deinococcota; Deinococci; Deinococcales; Deinococcaceae
Description: tRNA-OTHER
Source: RNAcentral